This 835-nucleotide ribosomal RNA is filed under the name uncultured bacterium. Its description in RNAcentral is "bacterial SSU rRNA". It matches the Rfam family "Bacterial small subunit ribosomal RNA", at positions 666 to 1502 of the family's 1533-position model. The record is from RNAcentral.
AUUCCAGGUGUAGCGGUGGAAUGCGUAGAUAUCUGGAAGAACACCAAAGGCGAAGGCAGCCUCCUGGGCGAAUACUGACGCUCAUAUGCGAAAGCGCGGGGAGCAAACAGGAUUAGAUACCCUGGUAGUCCGCGCCGUAAACGAUGUCGAUUAGGAGUCCGGGCGUUAAGUCUGGGUUCCGGAGCAAACGCGUUAAAUCGACCGCCUGGGGAGUACGGCCGCAAGGUUAAAACUCAAAUGAAUUGACGGGGGCCCGCACAAGCGGUGGAGCAUGUGGUUUAAUUCGACGCAACGCGAAGAACCUUACCUGAUCUUGACAUCGCGGGAACCCCGCUGAAGGGCGGGGGUGCCUUCGGGAACCCGCAGACAGGUGCUGCAUGGCUGUCGUCAGCUCGUGUCGUGAGAUGUUGGGUUAAGUCCCGCAACGAGCGCAACCCUUGUCCCCUGUUGCCAGCGGAUCAUGCCGGGAACUCAGGGGAGACUGCCAGUGACAAACUGGAGGAAGGCAGGGAUGACGUCAAGUCAUCAUGGCCCUUACGGUCAGGGCUACACACGUGCUACAAUGGGACGUACAGAGGGAAGCAAGCCUGCGAGGGCAAGCGGAACCCUUAAAGCGCCCCCAAGUUCGGACUGGAGUCUGCAACUCGACUCCACGAAGUCGGAAUCGCUAGUAAUCGCAGAUCAGAACGCUGCGGUGAAUACGUUCCCGGGCCUUGUACACACCGCCCGUCACACCAUGGGAGUGAAUUGCACCAGAAGUGGCCAGCCCAACCGAAAGGAGGGCGGUUACCACGGUGUGGUUCAUGACUGGGGUGAAGUCGUAACAAGGUAACCA